CCUACGGGAGGCAGCAGUGGGGGAUAUUGCACAAUGGGGGAAACCCUGAUGCAGCGACGCCGCGUGUGGGCAGACGGUCCUCUGAAUUGUAAACCACUGUCACCAGGGACGAAGAUGACGGUACCUGGGAAGGAAGAUCCGGCUAACUACGUGCCAGCAGCCGUGGUAAUCCGGAGGGAGCGAGCGUUGUCCGGAGUUACUGGGUGUAAAGGGAGCGUAGGCGGGGAUGCAAGUUGGGUGUCAAAACUACCGGCUCAACUGGUAGGCGUACGCAAAACUGCAGCUCUUGAGGGCAGUAGAGGCAUGCGGAAGUCCUAGUGUAGCGGUGAAAUGCGUAGAUAUUAGGAGGAACACCAGUGGCGAAGGCGGCCUGCUGGGCUUUUACUGACGCUGAGGCUCGAAAGUGUGGGGAGCAAACAGGAUUAGAUACCCGGGUAGUC
Molecule: ribosomal RNA, 440 nt
Filed under: uncultured bacterium
Lineage: Bacteria
Description: partial 16S ribosomal RNA
Rfam family: Bacterial small subunit ribosomal RNA
Source: RNAcentral